Molecule: ribosomal RNA, 500 nt
Filed under: uncultured bacterium
Lineage: Bacteria
Description: bacterial SSU rRNA
Rfam family: Bacterial small subunit ribosomal RNA
Source: RNAcentral
CGGCAGGCCUAACACAUGCAAGUCGAGCGUGAAAGGGGCUCGGCCCUGAGUAAAGCGGCGCACGGGUGAGUAACACGUGAAUAAUCUGCCCUCAUGACCGGGAUAACAGAUCGAAAGAACUGCUAAUACCGGAUAAGCCUCCACACCAACCGGGUGAGUGGGGAAAAGAACGGGACCUUCGGGCCGUUCGCGUGAGGAUGAGUUCGCGUUCCAUUAGAUAGUUGGUGAGGUAAUGGCUCACCAAGUCGACGAUGGAUAGCUGGUCUAAGAGGAUGAUCAGCCACACUGGAACUGAGACACGGUCCAGACUCCUACGGGAGGCAGCAGUGGGGAAUCUUGCGCAAUGGAGGAAACUCUGACGCAGCCAUGCCGCGUGAGUGAAUGAAGGCCCUCGGGUUGUAAAGCUCUGUCUAAGGGGACGAAUGGCGUUAUGUACAAGACGCAUGACGAUUGACGGUACCCUUAAAGAAAACACCGGCUAACUCCGUGCCAGCCGCAGC